This is a long non-coding RNA of Malania oleifera, 179 nucleotides long. RefSeq lists it as uncharacterized. The transcript has 2 exons. Lineage: Eukaryota; Viridiplantae; Streptophyta; Magnoliopsida; Santalales; Ximeniaceae. The record is from RefSeq and is a predicted model, not a curated record.
AUGAGUUACAGACGCGAUGUUGGUAUUUGAUACCGAAGAUACUCAUGAGCUGAAAGGGAAGAGAGACCGGCCGAGUGAUAGAGCUCCGUGAUAGUAGGGAGCUGAGACCCUGAUACACAGGGUGAAUUUUUGGACUAGGGGAGAUGUAAUUCCCCUAAAGUUGAAUAGUAAUUUUUAGU